Molecule: ribosomal RNA, 429 nt
Filed under: Verrucomicrobiota bacterium
Lineage: Bacteria; Pseudomonadati; Verrucomicrobiota
Description: Verrucomicrobia bacterium partial 16S ribosomal RNA
Rfam family: Bacterial small subunit ribosomal RNA
Source: RNAcentral
UAGGGAAUCUUCCGCAAUGGACGAAAGUCUGACGGAGCAACGCCGCGUGAGUGAAGAAGGAUUUCGGUUCGUAAAACUCUGUUGUUAGGGAAGAAAAAAUGUAUAGUAACUAUAUACAAAAGAGACGGUACCUAACCAGAAAGCCACGGCUAACUACGUGCCAGCAGCCGCGGUAAUACGUAGGUGGCAAGCGUUGUCCGGAAUAAUUGGGCGUAAAGCGCGCGCAGGUGGUUUAGAAAGUCUGAUGUGAAAGCCCACGGCUCAACCGUGGAGGGUCAUUGGAAACUAAUAAACUUGAGUGCAGGAGAGAAAAGUGGAAUUCCUAGUGUAGCGGUGAAAUGCGUAGAGAUUAGGAGGAACACCGGUGGCGAAAGCGGCUUUUUGGCCUGCAACUGACACUGAGGCGCGAAAGCGUGGGGAGCAAACAGG